CACCCAGGACGGUGGAUCACUCGGCUCGUGGGUCGAUGAAGAACGCAGCAAAUUGCGCGUCGACAUGUGAGCUGCAGGACACAUGAACAUCGACGUUUCGAACGCACAUUGCGGUCCAUGGAUUCCGUUCCCGGGCCACGUCUGGCUGAGGGUCG
Molecule: ribosomal RNA, 155 nt
Filed under: Schistocerca americana (American grasshopper)
Lineage: Eukaryota; Metazoa; Arthropoda; Insecta; Orthoptera; Acrididae
Also listed under: 1 other name
Description: 5.8S ribosomal RNA
Rfam family: 5.8S ribosomal RNA
About the family: 5.8S ribosomal RNA (5.8S rRNA) is a component of the large subunit of the eukaryotic ribosome. It is transcribed by RNA polymerase I as part of the 45S precursor that also contains 18S and 28S rRNA.
Source: RNAcentral